CCAAAUCCUACAUUGAGGCAACCUAACUAAUUAAAUAAGAGUGUGUUUAGCUUCUCCCCAUUGAGGCAACCUAACUAAUUAUUUUCCAUUGAGGCAACCAAAUAAGAGUGUGUUUAGGAGACACGAAAUUUCUGCGUGAAGCACAUAACACUACCAUAAAAACCAAAUUGGAAAACACCACCAUGUUUUCUAACUAGAAACCCAACAAAAUUAGAUUAAUAGACUCAAAUGUUAUUUACUCACUUGCCCUAAUCUUUAUUCACAUAGUUGUUUGUUCAUUAAACAGAAGAAGACACAUAUUAGCUAGGAAUAAAUAUGGUUUGUGCUUCAUUUAUUCGUAGCUUCUGUUGUCUUGCAAUGAAUGCCUCCACGGUGCGACGAAAUUCGUCGCUGCUCAUUCCAUCUUCAGGAUAUAAACUCCAUUUUUUCUCUUUAUCAACUUCAAUGUUUUUCCUCUUACUCUUAUCAUUAUCACUCUCACACCUUUGCAACACUCUUUGAUCCUUCGCAUCAUCACUAUUCACACCCCUCACCAACUCAAUUUCCGAUUGACACCUCCUAUAUCCCUUCACUUCCAAACCCAUCUCUGUUUCUAUCUCCUGUUUCUCUUCCAACUUCAUUUUGUUAUCAUCUUCACUCUUUAUACUCUCUUUUUGAGAUAAUUUCACCAUGCAUCCAUCGUUUAUUCUACAACCCUUUACGUUGCUCUCAACUUUUACGCUGGGUUUUUUCUGAUCAAAACCUUGGAUUUUCUGAUACAUGUUGCUAUUCUUGAGAAACUCGAGAUAAAGAUCAUGUUCUGAACUUCUUUUUGCAGAAUCAUGUUGUGAGAAGUGACCAGAUUGAGCAAUGAGUGUGAUGAUGAUAAUGUUUCCAACAAGAAAAACAAAAGCAGGACUAACCGCGAAACCUCGAAAAUAUUCGCUUGAGUUCUUCAAAGCCAAUGGUAGUUGUUGGAAUGAAAGCCUUGAAAUCAAAAUCAACACAACACACAUCUCUGCAUACCGAAAUUUUUUUGCAAUCAUUCUAAGAUGACGAUGUUUUUGAACUUUGUUGGAUUUCUCUGCUUUGUGUUUGUGUAAAUUGAUUGUACCCAUUUUUUCUUAAUAAAAGAGCAAUGAAACAGAACAGGUUCUGUUUUUGUUUUCUUACUCUGUUAUGUUUUUAAAUAAAGGGAACUGAAAAUUUGUGCACAUAUAAAAUAUAUGUGAAAACAUAUACCAAUAGAGAAACUGCAGCUAUAAUAGACACUGCAGUAGUAUUUAGGUUUAGAAGCAUGGAAAUUGAGUGAAUGUUUU
RNAcentral lists this long non-coding RNA (1298 nucleotides) under Medicago truncatula (barrel medic). Its description in RNAcentral is "lncRNA gene34482". Lineage: Eukaryota; Viridiplantae; Streptophyta; Magnoliopsida; Fabales; Fabaceae. The record is from RNAcentral.